GUGUCAGCCGCCGCGGUAAAACCAGCACCUCAAGUGGUCAGGAGGAUUAUUGGGCCUAAAGCAUCCGUAGCCUGUUCUGUAAGUUUUCGGUUAAAUCCAUUAGCUCAACUAAUGGGCUGCCGAAAAUACUGUAGAACUAGGGAGUGGGAGAGGUAGACGGUAUUCGGUAGGAAGGGGUAAAAUCCUUUGAUCUAUUGAGGACCACCUGUGGCGAAGGCGGUCUACCAGAACACGUUCGACGGUGAGGGAUGAAAGCUGGGGGAGCAAACCGGAUUAGAUACCCGGGUAGUCCCAGCUGUAAACGAUGCAGACUCGGUGAUGCCCUGGCUUGUGGCCAGUGCAGUGCCGCAGGGAAGCCGUUAAGUUUGCCGCCUGGGAAGUACGUACGCAAGUAUGAAACUUAAAGGAAUUGGCGGGGGAGCACCACAAGGGGUGAAGCCUGCGGUUCAAUUGGAGUCAACGCCAGAAAUCUUACCCGAAGAGACAGCAGAAUGAAGGUCAAGCUGGAGACUUUACCAGACAAGCUGAGAAGUGGUGCAUGGCCGUCGCCAGCUCGUGCCGUGAGAUGUCCUGUUAAGUCAGGUAACGAGCGAGAUCCCUGCCUCUAGUUGCCACCAUUACUCUCAGGAGUAGUGGGGCGAAUUAGCGGGACCGCCGCAGUUAAUGCGGAGGAAGGAAGGGGCCACGGCAGGUCAGUAUGCCCUGAAACUUUGGGGCCACACGCGGGCUGCAAUGGUAGCGACAAUGGGUUCCGAAUCCGAAAGGAGGAGGCAAUCCUCAAACGCUACCACAGUUAUGAUUGAGGGCUGCAACUCGCCCUCAUGAAUAUGGAAUCCCUAGUAACUGCGUGUCAUUACCGCGCAGUGAAUACGUCCCUGCUCCUUGCACACACUGCCCGUC
Molecule: ribosomal RNA, 900 nt
Filed under: uncultured archaeon
Lineage: Archaea
Description: bacterial SSU rRNA
Rfam family: Archaeal small subunit ribosomal RNA
Source: RNAcentral